CCCUUAGAUGUUCUGGGCCGCACGCGCGCUACACUGACAGAGCCAACGAGUUCUUCGCCUUGGCCGGAAGGUCUGGGUAAUCUUGUUAAACUCUGUCGUGCUGGGGAUAGAGCAUUGCAAUUAUUGCUCUUCAACGAGGAAUGCCUAGUAAGCGCGUGUCAUCAGCACGCGUUGAUUACGUCCCUGCCCCUUGUACACACCGCCCGUCGCUACUACCGAUUGAAUGGCUCAGUGAGGCCUUCGGACUGGCUCAGGGAGGUUGGCAACGACCACCCCGAGCCGGAAAGUUCGUCAAACUCGGUCAUUUAGAGGAAGUAAAAGUCGUAACA
This 329-nucleotide ribosomal RNA is filed under the name uncultured eukaryote. RNAcentral describes it as "partial 18S ribosomal RNA". It matches the Rfam family "Eukaryotic small subunit ribosomal RNA", at positions 1470 to 1796 of the family's 1831-position model. The record is from RNAcentral.